This 746-nucleotide ribosomal RNA is filed under the name uncultured Ureaplasma sp. RNAcentral's name for it is "bacterial SSU rRNA". It matches the Rfam family "Bacterial small subunit ribosomal RNA", at positions 628 to 1397 of the family's 1533-position model. The record is from RNAcentral. Lineage: Bacteria; Bacillati; Mycoplasmatota; Mycoplasmoidales; Mycoplasmoidaceae.
GGAAACUGUUAACCUAGAGUUUGGUAGAGAGUUCUGGAACUCCAUGUGGAGCGGUGGAAUGCGUAGAUAUAUGGAAGAACACCAGUUGCGAAGGCGAGAACUUGGGCCACAACUGACGCUUAGGCUCGAAAGUGUGGGGAGCAAAUAGGAUUAGAUACCCUAGUAGUCCACACCGUAAACGAUGGGUGUUAAACGUCGGGAUUUAAUCUCGGUGUUGUAGUUAACACAUUAAACACCCUGCCUGGGUAGUACAUUCGCAAGAAUGAAACUCAAACGGAAUUGACGGGGACCCGCACAAGUGGUGGAGCAUGUUGUUUAAUUCGACGAUACACGUAGAACCUUACCUAGACUUGACAUCCUUGGCGAAGUUAUAGAAAUAUAAUGGAGGUUAACCGAGAGACAGGUGGUGCAUGGUUGUCGUCAGCUCGUGUCGUGAGAUGUUGGGUUAAGUCCCGCAACGAGCGCAACCCUUAUCGUUAGUUAUUUUGUCUAACGAGACUGCCAACGCAAGUUGGAGGAAGGUGGGGAUGACGUCAAAUCAUCAUGCCCCUUAUGUCUAGGGCCACAAACGUGCUACAAUGGUCGGUACAAACAGUCGCUAAUUCGUAAGAUAGAGCUAAUCUGUAAAGCCGAUCUCAGUUCGGAUAGAGGGCUGAAAUUCGCCCUCUUGAAGUUGGAAUCACUAGUAAUCGCGAAUCAGCCAUGUCGCGGUGAAUACGUUCUCGGGUCUUGUACACACCGCCCGU